CGAACGAUGAACCACUUCGGUGGGGAUUAGUGGCGAACGGGUGAGUAACACGUGGGCAAUCUGCCCUGCACUCUGGGACAAGCCCUGGAAACGGGGUCUAAUACCGGAUAUGAGCCUGGGAGGCAUCUCCCGGGUUGUAAAGCUCCGGCGGUGCAGGAUGAGCCCGCGGCCUAUCAGCUUGUUGGUGAGGUAGUGGCUCACCAAGGCGACGACGGGUAGCCGGCCUGAGAGGGCGACCGGCCACACUGGGACUGAGACACGGCCCAGACUCCUACGGGAGGCAGCAGUGGGGAAUAUUGCACAAUGGGCGAAAGCCUGAUGCAGCGACGCCGCGUGAGGGAUGACGGCCUUCGGGUUGUAAACCUCUUUCAGCAGGGAAGAAGCGAAAGUGACGGUACCUGCAGAAGAAGCGCCGGCUAACUACGUGCCAGCAGCCGCGGUAAUACGUAGGGCGCAAGCGUUGUCCGGAAUUAUUGGGCGUAAAGAGCUCGUAGGCGGCUUGUCACGUCGAUUGUGAAAGCCCGAGGCUUAACCUCGGGUCUGCAGUCGAUACGGGCUAGCUAGAGUGUGGUAGGGGAGAUCGGAAUUCCUGGUGUAGCGGUGAAAUGCGCAGAUAUCAG
This 620-nucleotide ribosomal RNA is filed under the name Streptomyces sp. SCAUEA37. Its description in RNAcentral is "bacterial SSU rRNA". It matches the Rfam family "Bacterial small subunit ribosomal RNA", at positions 63 to 700 of the family's 1533-position model. The record is from RNAcentral. Lineage: Bacteria; Bacillati; Actinomycetota; Actinomycetes; Kitasatosporales; Streptomycetaceae.